GAAUAUUGGUCAAUGGACGCAAGUCUGAACCAGCCAUGCCGCGUGCAGGAAGAAUGCCCUAUGGGUUGUAAACUGCUUUUAUUUGGGAAUAAACCUCUUUACGUGUAGAGAGCUGAAGGUACCAAACGAAUAAGCACCGGCUAACUCCGUGCCAGCAGCCGCGGUAAUACGGAGGGUGCAAGCGUUAUCCGGAAUCAUUGGGUUUAAAGGGGCCGCAGGCGGGCUAAUAAGUCAGUGGUGAAAGCCCAUAGCUUAACUAUGGAACUGCCAUUGAAACUGUUAGUCUUGAAUUCGGUCGAAGUGGGCGGAAUGUGUCAUGUAGCGGUGAAAUGCAUAGAUAUGACACAGAACACCGAUAGCGAAGGCAGCUCACUAGGCCUGGAUUGACGCUCAGGGACGAAAGCGUGGGGAGCGAACAGGA
Molecule: ribosomal RNA, 421 nt
Filed under: uncultured bacterium
Lineage: Bacteria
Description: bacterial SSU rRNA
Rfam family: Bacterial small subunit ribosomal RNA
Source: RNAcentral